Molecule: long non-coding RNA, 11474 nt
Filed under: Triticum aestivum (bread wheat)
Lineage: Eukaryota; Viridiplantae; Streptophyta; Magnoliopsida; Poales; Poaceae
Description: long non-coding RNA (TAES_LNC024438)
Source: RNAcentral
UUGGUACACAUUUCACCAAGAAUAUAAGUUCACAUCGCAUCAAUCUCACAGAAAGAACACAUAAUAAGGAUCUUAAUUUUCAAGAGGCAUUCCUUCGGUUAUCACGCUGAGCAACAACCAGUUGCAGCAAAACAAUCAAUAACACUUAAAACUACCAAACUAAAACCUUAAGCCUGAGAAUCUGCAUCUCCAUACAUAACACAACAACAAAUACCUAUACAUAAGUGGUCAAAUUCACUAUUGAACUAUCUUCCAGAAAGGAUCAUCAAAUUAUUCUCAGGUUCCAGAGUGAAUGCCUACAUCACGAUCACACGCAAUGGGCACAAGCAUCCGCUUACUGAAGGCCCGUGUUUGCACCUAAAGCCAAGCAAGAGCUUAGACUCGAGCUUCGUACCAGGCCAAUGUUGUCCAUGAUUCGCAAGCACGUCCUUUAAGUUCUUGAAACAGAGUAGAAACCUGCAUAUAUUUGUAAUCAGAAAUUAGAGAGAUCAACAAAGAAAAAGGAGGGAAAGUCUCAUUAUUUUGGGAAUUCCUAUUUUAUUAGGGAAAGGGAGCACAAGAGAUUCUUAAUCCAUCCUAGUGAGGUUACAAUAUCCAUGCAAAAAACCAGGGGGAAAGAGGAGGCAGUAAUUCCAUGUAAGAAUCAUAAUGUAGUACCAGUAGUGACAUAGAAUAACAUAGAGAUUGCGAUAAGGUUUUAUAAUGUAUAUAUAUGGCAUGGAUCUCACCAUUAUUUGCUGGAGAUUAAUAACACAAAUUAUUAUUUUUGCAUGUAUCCUGCCAUCACGUGCAUUAUUUCAUUUUAGUACUUAGUAAACAACAAAGUUAAACUUGCACCAUCCCAACAAGUGGAUCUUCUAGUUACUCUGUCAAUCAACAUAUUGACUUGAAAAGAACUAAUAUUCCAUACAAUCGAGAAAAUAAAAUUCAAGUAGCAACAAUGCAGGUAUAUGGACUGAACUCUUCCUCAAAAUAAUACGUAUAUGCUUCAGAUUUAACUACCAUGUAUUUAUUCCACCUAUCUUCUAACCAGAUAGUUUAAGAGACUCUCACUAAAAAUGUUAAAAUGAGAAUCCUAUGAAAUAUCAUGAAAUACAGAAGGUUCUUUAUAAAUGAAGAAGAUGGUUAACAGGGCAAGCUUAGAAUAAUCCACUAAAGCAAAGAAUGUGAGUAUAAUUGAAAAAAGCAUGUCACAGCAAUUCCACACACACACACACAAUGUGCCACAUAGAAAUUCAGGAUAGCAAAAGAAAAAAUUAGUUACUUAGCCUUAUAUCAAUCUCCACCGAUGGUUGGAUCCUCCAUUGCUGCAACUCCGCCUGCUUUUAAUGGCAUAGGUGAGCGCGCGCACACACACACACAAUGACCUAUAGGCGGCCGACGGAUUACGUUAGCGUAUCACGUGAGGUUGAGAAAGCACGUAUCCAUGUCGAGCACCAAUGGGCUUGUUUGCACAUAUUUUGAAUGAUGAUAGUAUCAAAGUGACUUGAGGUGCCUAGAAAAGCAGAGUGAGCACUACAUAUAAUAUUAGCAGUUAAAGAAAUGAUAAAUACCGUGGUUAACUCAACAGAUCCAUCCAAAUAUCUAACAACCAUUUGUGACUUGUUGGAAGUAUACCAGAACGACAACCUUCUACAACACAUGUAACUCUAAACAGAUCCAAGUUCUCGGGUCUAAAAUAAUCUUAGACAAACAAACAACUUGUCGGAGUAAAUGGCCACGGGUAGCCUAACCGACUGCCCCUGGCUCUUCAAAAAUUAUCAGGCCAUUUGAGCCUUCAAGCAUUCAAGCAUUGGGCCGCCUUCCCCGGUCGGCUACCUCUGAAACCGACUCUCAGAAGGCGACCCAGCCUCAGCAACCUCCCCCCAAGAUAACCACGGGAUGGCCGACUCCAGGAAGCCGGCCAUAGAGGAUGCCGACUCCCCAGAGCCGGCCAUGAAGAACGCCGACUCCCCAGAGCUGGCCACGAAGGGCGCCGACUCCAAGAAGCCGGCCAAGCCCGCACCCACCAAAACUACAUCCACAUAACGGUGACAAGACGGGGUGUGGCCACAGUGCGGCCCACUACCCCCAAAGCCCGAGGCAGGCAUGGCCACAGGACGUCGUACGGGGCGGCCAUAUCCCGUCCAGCUCGGCACUGUAGCCAUGCUGGCCUCAACGUCACCCACGACAGACGCCAGUACGGCCCACGGGCGGCGGGACCCUUUAGCCAGAGAGAGGCGCGAAGGCGGCCCGGCCUCCCCCAGUCGGCCAAGGGCGUAGCCAGCCCCCAGAAGCCGGCUACCCCCUCCCUUGAAGCAUGUGCCACAUUAAGGAGACAAGACAAGGUAAGGCUACAGUGAGAGCCCUCAAGGCGGCACACUGUAGCCACGCUUACCUCGACGAAGCCCUCGUCAUCAGGGACGAGGCUACAGUAAGCAGCCGCUGACAAGACCCCUAGGCAGUGGGGCCGGCCUGUCGACCAAGAGGCCGGCAGCCGGCGGGACCCACUAGUCGGCAGGCCCCAACAGCCGGCGGAGAAGCCGGCGAGCGCAGACACUGACGACUGGGACUCGCGCCCAGCCGGAUUACAAUUGUACCCCCGGGGGGUAGGCCUAUUUAAACCCCCCGGGGCACCCAUGCAAAGGGUUGGCUUCUUAGAGUUACACACACACCAUAGAGAGAGGGAAGCAAGAGCUAGCCUUGCUCUUCUUCUCCCUUGAACCCGACAGCUCUAGGAGCAUUUGUAGCUACUCUUUCCGAUCUAGUGAUCAUGCGGAGACCCCGCAGAGCAGGACUAGGGGUGUUAUCUCCUCGGAGAGCCCCGAACCUGGGUAAGAUUCGCCGGCGUGCAUGUCUUCGCCUCAUCCCGUUUCCAGGCACCGGCGACGUCUUACUGGCACCCACCAUGAUAAGCCACCCGUUGGCAUAUGUCGCACCUACCACCCGACAUUUGGCGCCCACCGUGGGGCCAGGUGCACCGUUGUCCGGAGACCUGUUCUGGACGGGAACCCUUUUCCUCCCCCGCGAGCGCAGCCAGCCUGCUGCGCCCGAUGGCGCUUGCCUCGACGCGCUGCAAGGCGUCGACGACGCCUGCGCAGCGAGCUGCCUCGCCGAUCUGCUCGGCGAGACUCGCAUCUCCGACGAGCCCGCAUCCGACGCGGGCACAGACUACCCCGAGAGCCGCCUUGUCAGCCUCCUCGACCAGCUUCACGUCUCUAGCGAGCCUGCUGUAGAUGUGGAGUCGGUCGGCUCCACCGACCCGAUGCUCGUCGACUCCGACACGGCAUCGCUCGACACCUACCCCUCCGACGUGGUGGUCUUCGACGAUCCUCUCCCUCGAGCUGACAGUGGCAGCAGCGCUAUCACCGAAGUGUUGGUCAUCAGCCACGUCGCCAACUCGGGCGAGAACGCCCACGACGCCCUGCAAGCGGCAAUGCACGACCUAUCCGUCCCCAUCCCCGCCGACGCCGACGCCGAGACCCUGGAGGCACGCCGCCUCGCCCUCGUCGCGGAAGGCCAGAAGAUAGCCUCCAUGAGACGCCUCACCGAGGCCCACCAGCACGAAGUCGACCGCGCCGCCUUCGGUACGCCGCCGCCUAGCGGGCCGAGCCGAGCCGGCUUCGUCCAGAAGCGUGGCGCGGCUAUCACCAGCAUGCUGCGGGCAGAUCGCCCUGUCUACGCCACCCCGCUCGAGAAUCUGCGAGCCGCUCAGGCGGCCGCUGAGGAGCUAAAUGGGCUGGGAGCCGACGAGCUCCCCUACAUGACAAGGCGGGUCCAGCAGCUGAUCGACGCGGCUGCAGAACGGCACGAAGCCGGCGCCCGCGCCGAUAGUCAUCCCCCGCGCCGGGAGCACGCCGUGACGUCCCGCUCACCGACUGCAAGCGGCGCCCGCCAGAAGAAGGACAAGGAGCCGGCUGCUAGCCGCAGCCGGACUCGCAUCACCAUCGAGCGCGACGCGGAAGGCCGCCCUCGAGCGGUGGAGCGCCAAGGAAAUCUGCCUCCUCCCCCGCCUCGAAGGGAGAGACGUCUCACCCCGCCGCCCGUCACGCACCCGACUCUUGGUGACCGACUAGGCCGCCGAGAAGGAGUCGGCGAGAACGAAGCCCUCCACCGGAUCGACCGCCUUGCUUGAUCCCUGGCGCUAGAAGAAGAAGACGAUGUCAGCCCGCCAUGCUUUGGCCCCUGCAUCCGCGACGAGCCCUUCCCCAAAGGGUUCUCGCUCCCCAGAGACACGCCCAAGUACAAUGGCUCUGUGAAGCCGGAAGAUUGGCUCAUCGACUACUCCACUGCUGUCAGCAUAGCCAACGGCAAUCGGCGCGUGGCCGUAAAGUACGUCCCCCUCAUGUUGCAAGGCACGGCGCGCACCUGGCUCAACAGCCUCAAGCCCUACAGCAUCAACAGCUGGCUGGACUUCACGGAAGUCUUCGUCCGCAACUUCACCAGCACGUACAAGCGGCCUCCCAAGCCUCGCCGGCUCUCCCUGUGCGUCCAAGGGCCCAACGAGUCGACCCGCGACUACCUCACGCGGUGGGCCGAGCUCCGCAACUCCUGCGAGGGGUGCACGAGGUCCAGGCCAUCGAGUACUUCGCCGCCGGGUGCCGAGAGGGCACCCUCCUCAAGCACCGACUCCUCUGCGACGAGCCGGCUACCCUCGACGAACUGCUGAUCAUCGCGGACAAGUAUGCCACGGCCGACUCCUCGAUGAAGACCGAGCUCCGAGUGGACGCCUCUGGGAAGGUGCUCGCUCCGGCUCCAAAGACGCCGGCUGGCGACUCCAAUCGGCGCCCCUACCAGAACGAUCACAAGCGCAAGGCCCCCAUGCCGCCUUCCACCAGUCGGCAUGUGGCCACAGUUGAAGAUGAGCAGCCCGAAGAGCGGCCCGCUCCCAAGAAGAAGGGUGGCAGGCCGGCUUGGCAGCCGGCUUUCUCUUACGAGCAGACUCUCGACGCCCCCUGCAAGUUCCACAGCGGCGCGAAGCCGUCCAACCACACGACCCGAAAAUGCCACUGGCUCACGCGAAUCUCCAAGGGCGAAGGGCUGGUGCCGCCUCCGCCUCCCGGCCCGCCGCCUCCAGCCCCCCAGCAGCCGGCGGCUCGGCCGGCAGUCGGAGCCAUUCAAGACGAGUUUCCCGAAGAGCACGCCGCCUACGUCGUCUUCACCAGCCAAGCCGAAGACAAGCGCAGUCGGCGCUGUCAGCAUCAAGAGGUCAACGCAGUCGCCUCUAGCGCCCCCGAGUUCAUGCACUGGUCAGAUAAGCCAAUCAGCUGGAGUCAGGCCGACCACCCAGAGGUGAUGCCAUCCCCUGGCUCCUAUGCACUGGUCUUGGAUGUCACUCUCGCGACGAGGACGCGAGCUGCCCGAUUUUCCCGCGUCCUGAUAGAUGGCGGAAGCAGUAUCAAUAUACUGUACUACGAUACCAUGGAGAAGCUGAACAUCAAGGCGAAGCAGCUUAUGCCAAGCCGAACCGUGUUCCAUGGUAUCGUCCCCGGCUUGUCUUGUUCCCCGAUCGGCAAGAUCAAGAUGGAUGUUCUCUUCGGAGACAAAGAUCAUUUUCGCCGAGAAGCGAUCUGGUUCGAAGUAGUGGAUCUGGAGAGCCCCUAUCAUGCUUUGCUUGGCCGACCUGCUCUGGCCAAGUUCAUGGUUGUGCCCCACUAUGCCUACCUGAAGAUGAAGAUGCCGAGCUCGAAGGGGAUCAUCACGGUAGCCGGCGACUACAGGAAGUCCAUCGAGUGCGCCAUGGCCAGUAGCCAUCUGGCCGAGUCCCUUGUAGUGGCCGAAGAGAAGAAGAUGCUGGAACGGGUUGUGGCCAUGGCCGGCAAGCAGCCGGCCCUGUCCCCCAAUCCCAAGGACUGUGAUGCACAAGGCUCCUUCCAGCCGGCCAAGGAGACGAAGAAGAUACCUCUGGACCCGGAGAAUCCGGAGAGGUUUGCCGUCAUUGGGGCAAACUUGGACAGUAAAUAGGAAGCCGAGCUCGUCGACUUCCUCUGUGAGAAUCGAGACAUUUUUGCAUGGUCCCCAAAGGACAUGUCCGGUGUCCCGAAGGAUUUCGCCGAGCACAAAUUACAUGUCCGAGCCGACGCGAAGCCGGUCAAGCAGCCCCUCCGCCGAUUGUCAGAAGAGAAGCAAAGAAUCGUAGGAGAAGAGAUAGCCCGGCUCCUCGCCGCUGGCUUUAUUAUGGAAGUGUUUUUUCCAGAGUGGCUUGCCAACCCAGUUCUGGUAUUGAAGAAGAACAACAAGUGGCGUAUGUGUAUAGACUACACCGGCCUGAACAAGGCCUGCCCCAAGGAUCCGUUUGCUUUGCCACGGAUCGACCAAGUGAUUGACUCCACAGCCGGAUGCGAGCUGUUGAGUUUUUUGGAUGCCUACUCAGGGUACCAUCAGAUCAAGUUGGACCCAGCAGACCGCCUGAAGACUGCCUUCAUCACACCAUUUGGAGCUUUCUGCUACCUAACUAUGACAUUCGGCCUGAGGAAUGCCGGUGCCACUUUUCAGCGUUGCAUACAGAAAUGCCUCCUCAAGCAACUCGGCAGAAAUGCCCACGUCUAUGUAGACGACAUUGUGGUGAAGACAGAGAAGCGCGGCACCCUGCUGGAAGACCUGAAAGAAACAUUCGCCAACUUGCGCCGAUUCCAAAUCAAGCUCAACCCCGAGAAAUGCGUGUUCGGAGUACCAGCCGGCCAGCUGCUAGGCUUCCUGGUCUCCGAACGCGGCAUCGAGUGCAACCUUGUGAAAAUCAAGGCCAUCGAGAGGAUGGAGAUUCCCACCAAAUUGCGAGAUGUGCAGAAGUUCACCGGGUGCCUGGCCUCCCUAAACCGCUUUAUCAGCCGACUAGGAGAGAAGGCUCUCCCCCUGUACCGACUCAUGAAGAAGUCCACUCACUUCGAGUGGAAUGACCAAGCCGACCAAGCCUUCCAUGAGUUGAAGAAGAUGCUGACCACUCCGCCUGUCCUGGCAGCGCCGACUGAGAAGGAGCCCAUGCUCCUCUACAUUGCCGCUACUAGCCGAGUAGUCAGUACAGUUGUUGUGGUCCAGCGCCCGGAAGAAGGCCGAGCCCAGCUAGUCCAGAGGCCGGUGUACUACCUAAGCGAAGUGCUAUCCAGCUCAAAACAGAACUACCCGCACUACCAGAAGAUGUGCUAUGGGGUGUACUUCGCCGCCAAGAAACUGAAGCCCUACUUCCAAGAGUAUCCCAUCACGGUCGUGUGCACCGCCCCGCUCGCCGAGAUAAUAGGCAGCCGGGAUGCAUCCGGCCGGGUGGCUAAAUGGGCCAUUGCACUGGCGCCAUACACGAUCUUCUACCAACCCCGCACCGCCAUCAAGUCCCAAGCACUGGCCGACUUCCUCGUCGACUGGGCCGAGACCCAGUACCUACCGCCGGCUCCCGACUCUACCCAUUGGCGGAUGCACUUCGACGGGUCCAAGAUGCGCACCGGCUUGGGAGCCAGCAUCGUCCUCACCUCUCCCAAAGGCGACAAGCUCAGAUACACGCUGCAGAUCCACUUCGCCGCCUCCAACAACGUGGCCGAGUACGAGGCGCUCGUACAUGGGCUCCGGCUAGCCAAAGAGCUCAGCAUACGCCGGAUCCUGUGUUACGGCGACUCAGACUUGGUGGUCCAGCAGUCGUCUGGCGACUGGGACGCCAAGGACGCGAACAUGGCGAGCUAUCGAUUCCUCGUCCAGCAGAUCAGCGGGUACUUCGAAGGGUGCGAGUUCCUUCACGUGCCAAGGGCCGACAACGACCAAGCAGAUGCCCUAGCACGGAUCGGCUCCACCCGACAAGCCAUACCGACUGGCGUCUCCCUCCAGCGCCUCCUCAAGCCGUCCAUCAAGCCGUCUCCAGAGUCGGACUCUAUCUUCGUACGGCCUGUGCCAGAUGCAGCCGGAUCCGACUGGAGGAACCCCGCAGGCAGCACGGGGACUUCGACAACUGGCCCGUCGACUGCCGUAGUCGCACCCGGCCCGGGGACUUCAGAACCCGGCCCGGGGACUACAGCAGUCGGCCCGGGGACUGCAGCAACACAAGAAGCGGUGGCCGACUCCAAUUCCACGCCUCCCGACCCACCCACCCGAGUCAUGGUGGCCGUCCUAACAGAAGAAGAAGUCACAGCUCCAUCAUGGGCCCAGCCCAUCCUCAAGUUCCUAGUCAGCAGAGAGCUGCCGGCUGAUGAAAUCUCAGCAAGACUGGUGCAACGACGAGCCGGAGCAUAUGCAAUAAUCAACAGAGAGCUUGUUAAGCGCAGCGUCACUGGAGUCUUCCAGCGUUGUGUCGAGCCAGAGAAAGGAGUGGCAAUCCUCAAGGAUAUCCAUCAAGGCGAAUGCGGCCACCACGCUGCCUCAAGAUCACUUGUGGCCAAAGCUUUUCGCCAUGGUUUCUUUUCGCCGACUGCUUUGGAAGAUGCCAAAGAGAUAGUCAAGAGCUGCAGAGGAUGCCAAGUUUUCAGUUCCAAGCAACACCUGCCGGCUUCUGCACUCAAGACCAUUCCCCUCACCUGGCCCUUUGCCGUCUAGGGACUGGACAUGGUGGGCCCUUUCAAGACAGCCCGCGGCGGCUUGACACACCUGCUUGUCGCCGUGGACAAGUUCACCAAGUGGAUCGAAGCGAAGCCGAUCAAGAAGCUGAACGGGCCGACUGCCGUGACAUUCAUCACUGACAUCACUACUCGGUACGGCGUGCCGCACAGCAUCAUCACCGACAACGGCAUGAACUUUGCCAAAGGAGCACUGGCACGUUUCUGCGCGACGCAGGGCAUCCGACUGGACUUAGCGUCCGUUGCCCACCCGCAGUCAAACGGCCAGGUCGAGCGAGCAAAUGGACUCAUCCUCUCCGGCAUCAAGCCCCGAUUGGUUGUACCACUGGAGCAAUCGGCCGGCUGCUGGCUCGAUGAGCUGUCGGCUGUCCUCUGGAGUCUGCGCACUACACCCAGCAAGUCAACCAGCUUCACUCUGUUCUUCCUUGUAUAUGGUGCCGAGGCUGUCAUCCCAACCGACAUCGAGUUCGACUCGCCUCGGGUCACCAUGUACACGGAGGCGGAGGCCAAGGAAGCAAGAGAAGACGACGUCGACCUACUAGAAGAAGGCCGGCUGUUAGCACUCAGCCGGUCCGCCAUCUACCAGCAAGGGCUGCACCGCUACCACAACCGCAAGGUCAAGCCAAGAUCCUUCCAAGAGGGCGACCUUGUGCUUCGGCUGAUCCAGCGAACAGCCGGCCAGCACAAGCUCUCGGCCCCUUGGGAAGGCCCCUUCGUCAUCAGCAAGGCACUAGGCAAUGACUCCUACUACUUGAUCGACACGCAAAAACCAAGAGCACGCAAGAGAGAUGACUCCGGCAAGGAGUCGGAGCGACCAUGGAACGCGAACCUCCUAAGAAGAUUUUACAGUUGAAAGCAGUAUGUAUGAUGCUACCCUUUUGUAUUAGGUACGAACCAACAGGCCCCCCGAACAGUACUCAGGGACUGCCUUUAUUUAUCUAUGAAUGACGAGUGUCAUAUCCAUGAAUGUAUUAUUACAUUUGAUUUCUUGUCUGGCACCGGGUUCGACUAGUCGGCCCGGGGACUGGCCGCCUUGAGCUAUAUUAAAAGUUCUACCUGAAGUCAGACAAGUAGUGUGCCAGCUCCCGAGUCCUCCCUUGUUGAAAGUCGCAGCUCAAAGAACCGACUGUCCGACUAGCAAGAGACAAGGCAGAAAGGAUGCCCACACGAAAAACGGCUAAGGACUAACGAACUUAUAUAGCAAAAAGACGGCCUCCAACCACGCUUGCCGGCUGUCAGAACAGCCGGCUGGCCGGCUUCCUAAACACUUAGCUCUAAUCCAACAAAGCUAGAGUACUUGCCCUCCCAAUUGGCCAAGCACUCAUCCAGCCACAGAUUGCAGAGCAACUGUCUGACUGGGGAGGCGGCAACCAAGGGAGGGCGGCAAAGGAAACAGCAGAAGGAUGAAAAGCAAAGAACGAGGAAAAGCCAAACGCAUGCAUAAGUCAUAUAUACAUAUAAAGCCCCCAACAGGCCGGCAAUCGACAUAGUUCGAAUACACCCCCAGUGGGUGGAAUUGUGCAGACUUAACAGAAUAUUAUUCCAAAAGUGACAAGACAGGAAAACAAAAGAUAGCAGACUAGACUAAGGCGCGGUGCGGGAGCCAGGCUGGUCGGUGGAGAUGGCGUCGCCGGCUGAAGGAGUGGCCGGCUGGCGGGUCUCGUCUUGGUCACCACCGGUGGCAGGCGACGCACCCGCGCGUGACGUGGUGCUGGAGGCACGGUCAGGCUGAGACUGGUCGGCCGCUCCACCAUCCGGCUCGGCGUCUUCACCCUCCUCCUCCUCCUCUUCGCCCUCGUCGCUGGAGUCGAUCUCCUCCGCCGAGUCUUCACCGUCUGCCGGGUUCAGCCCGAACCACUCCUCCGGCUGGGCGACACCGUUGUCAUCUACCUCAGGGGCGAAGACGCUGGUGUCGGUGUAGUCGGCGAUCGCCGAAGCCCGCCAUAUGAUAGCCGGCCGCGCCGGCUCCAGCUCCGUGUCGGCCUGCUGCCGCCAGGUAGCCAGCUGGUCCAGACUCAGGCCGGGAUACCAGGCCUUGACGAACUCCAGCGCCCGCCUGGCGCCGGACCGAGCCGCCGAGGCCUUCCAGGCUUCGAAGCGACCGACCGCCACCACCAGCCAGUCGGCAGUCUGACUGGGGGUGCGGAGAACCACUUCGCCGGGCCAGAGGGCGGCCAAUACUUGCGCCCCGGCACGCUGAAGCCGGCGGAGCAGUCGGUGAGCCGGCUGGAGACGGGCCUGGAUCGCCAAGAGCUGCUCCUCCAGCGAACGGCCAGCGUUUGGUGCAAUCUCGACGCCAGCCUGCCUUCGUGCUUGGCGGCGGGCUUCGAUGAUCUGGUUGGCGGCGGUAGAGUAGCCAGGGAAGUACUCUGCGCAAGAAAGAAAGAGAAAGAAAAGAAAACACCAAGUCAGAAAACGAGCCAAAAGCGGCAGACGGCAAGAAAGGACGAAGAAGUAGGCGGCUUACCGUCAACCAGAUCUUCGAUCUGGCCAUAGCCAUUGAUCAGAGUCUGCUUUGCUUCAGCCCAGCCAGCCGCUUCUGUCUCGUACUCGGCCUAGAGGGCGGCUUCGCGGUCCUGCACCGCCUUCAGAGCUGCCUUGUGUCCCUCCUCCUGGUCGGCCAACCUCUUGGCUAGGCGGUCACGUUCCUGCACCAAGGCGGCAAACUCGGCCUCCUUGGCACGAAGGGCCGUCUGAGACUCUCCCAGCUGUGCCCUCAGACCGGCGUUGGCCGCUGCAGGGACGGCAGAAAAAGAAAAAACAAUAAGAGGAAGUCGUCAAGGAAGAUCCGACCCGACUGCUCAGCAGUCGGCCCGAAUCUCGGGGACUACACCUAGUGGGUGCGCUGACGCGCCCCCACAUGAGAUAAAGAACAAAGCACUUACCCCGACUCUCAGUUAGGUCGGCGGUCUUCUGGGUCAGCUCCCGAGCCUGGGAGUUGAAGGCGACCGCACGAAGAUUGUG